Hippoglossus stenolepis (Pacific halibut) is the source of this 473-nucleotide long non-coding RNA. RefSeq lists it as uncharacterized. NCBI's taxonomy places the organism in Eukaryota, Metazoa, Chordata, Actinopteri, Pleuronectiformes, Pleuronectidae. The record is from RefSeq and is a predicted model, not a curated record. The transcript has 4 exons.
GUUGAACUCCACCUCAUCUGGGUCUGAGCAAGCAGCUCUGGUUCAUUAGUUGGGAACUUGGUUGGUUUUAGUGAACCUCAUGAUCCCUGUAGUCUGACCUUGUGAUGACUAGAUGACGACUGACUUGAAACCAUGGAGUCUUGUUAUAUUAGCUCUAUCUGAUUUGGUCAACGUAGAAAGCUUCACCCCAUGUAUGUUGUGCAUACUCAUCUUAUGCUGUUCUGUCGUCUGCAGGUUCUGAUCGCUCUCUGAGAUCCGACUGAACGGCCAAGACGAGGUUGACUGAGGAAAAGGCUGCAUCUCUUGGGCUGACCUUGAAAGCAGAUGUAAUGUCCUCUGGCCCUCAGACAGCCUGAUGUUUUACUCUAAAGAUUCUGUGGUAUUAUGGCGACCGGAGUUUGACCUGCAGACAAUUUAAUAUCUCUUGGCAAAUGUGUUUUCAACAUUGUUGCAAUAAAAUACUCAAAACGAAA